Molecule: ribosomal RNA, 252 nt
Filed under: uncultured bacterium
Lineage: Bacteria
Description: partial 16S ribosomal RNA
Rfam family: Bacterial small subunit ribosomal RNA
Source: RNAcentral
GACGUAGGGGGCCAGCGUUGCUCGGAAUUACUGGGCGUAAAGGGUUCGUAGGCGGUGCGGCAAGUCGGGAGUGAAAUCUCUGGGCUUAACUCAGGGGCUGCUUCCGAAACUGCCGUGCUUGAGUGCGGGAGAGGCGAGUGGAAUUGCAGGUGUAGCGGUGAAAUGCGUAGAUAUCUGCAGGAACACCCGUGGCGAAGGCGGCUCGCUGGACCGCAACUGACGCUGAGGACGAAAGCUACGGGAGCAAACAGG